This 242-nucleotide long non-coding RNA is filed under the name Malus domestica (apple). RNAcentral's name for it is "long non-coding RNA (MDOM_LNC006095)". The record is from RNAcentral. Lineage: Eukaryota; Viridiplantae; Streptophyta; Magnoliopsida; Rosales; Rosaceae.
GACACGUGUCAACACCUGGCAGAAACGACUUAUUUCAUCUGGAAUAUUAUAUUCAAAAUUAGGCCUUGGAAAUUUCUAUAAAUACAAGCCAUUUCAUUCAUUUGGGGGAACCAAAAUCAUUAGGCAAAACUCUUGAAGCUCUGAAGCUCUGAAACUCCGAAGCUCUCAAGCAUCCAGGUUCCCGAAGAAUCAAGAAAGCGUUCUUCGUUCAUCGUUCAUCCUAAGAUCAAGCCCCAACGGCC